RNAcentral lists this long non-coding RNA (395 nucleotides) under Citrus maxima (pomelo). RNAcentral describes it as "long non-coding RNA (CMAX_LNC004016)". The record is from RNAcentral. Lineage: Eukaryota; Viridiplantae; Streptophyta; Magnoliopsida; Sapindales; Rutaceae.
GUUGUUUGUGAGUCUGACAGGACCUCGCUAAAUGAAAAUGGUGAAGAUUCUGGUAGAGCAUCUUCCUUACGUAAUGACGUAAAUACUGACAAGGAGAUGAUUAGCAUGGACAAUUGUGAACAAGCUGAUCCUGUCAUGGUAGAGCCUGCAAGUAAAGCAGCUGAUCCUGUCAUGGCAGAGCCUGCAAGUAAAGCGGCUGAUCCUGUCAUGGCAGAGCCUGCAAGUAAAGCGGCCGAUCCUGUCAUGGCAGAGCCUGCAAGUAAAGCGGAGGAAGUGUGUGUUGACCAUCCUUCACCCAAGUAUGAAUAUGUAGCAUCUAGUGGAUCUGUUAAGGAAGUCGAGACUGUGGUAGCUGAGGAAGCAAAAGGGGAGACUGCUUCACUGCAUGUUGGGUC